This 257-nucleotide ribosomal RNA is filed under the name uncultured bacterium. Its description in RNAcentral is "partial 16S ribosomal RNA". It matches the Rfam family "Bacterial small subunit ribosomal RNA", at positions 524 to 777 of the family's 1533-position model. The record is from RNAcentral.
UACGUAGGGUGCGAGCGUUGUCCGGAAUUAUUGGGCGUAAAGAGCUUGUAGGCGGUUUGUCGCGUCUGCUGUGAAAAUCCGGGGCUCAACCCCGGACUUGCAGUGGGUACGGGCAGACUAGAGUGUGGUAGGGGAGACUGGAAUUCCUGGUGUAGCGGUGAAAUGCGCAGAUAUCAGGAGGAACACCGGUGGCGAAGGCGGGGUCUCCUGGGCCGUAACUGACGCUGAGGAGCGAAAGCGUGGGGAGGCGAACAGGA